This 278-nucleotide unclassified non-coding RNA is filed under the name Pseudoaliinostoc sp. ATA11-6B-CV3. RNAcentral's name for it is "16S-23S ribosomal RNA intergenic spacer". Lineage: Bacteria; Bacillati; Cyanobacteriota; Cyanophyceae; Nostocales; Nodulariaceae. The record is from RNAcentral.
UUUUAGGGAGACCUACCCAACUGUGAAUCGAAAGCGAAAGCAAAUAGAUUCAGAGAUGGUCUACUCUAGGUCGGUCGCAGAUUGGUAAGAGCUUUCAAAGUAUUAUAAUUCCGGUCUGCUUCGUCUAAAAAACGCAGCAACUAACAAUUUGUUAGACUGCUGGGUUAGAACCAGCCAGAACCUUGAAAACUGCAUAGAAAAGAGAAAGAAUUAGCAGGCAGACACAGACAUUAAAGAUUUAAUGGAAGUGAAAGCAGGUGAAACACCAAUGAAAUUGU